UACGGAGGGUGCAAACGUUGCUCGGAAUCAUUGGGCGUAAAGCGCACGUAGGCGGCUCGUUAAGUCGGGUGUGAAAGCCCUCGGCUCAACCGAGGAAGUGCAUUCGAAACUGGCGAGCUUGAAUAUGGAAGAGGGUCGCGGAAUUCCCGGUGUAGAGGUGAAAUUCGUAGAUAUCGGGAGGAACACCAGUGGCGAAGGCGGCGACCUGGGCAAUAUUGACGCUGAGGUGCGAAAGCGUGGGGAGCAAACAGG
This 252-nucleotide ribosomal RNA is filed under the name uncultured bacterium. RNAcentral describes it as "partial 16S ribosomal RNA". It matches the Rfam family "Bacterial small subunit ribosomal RNA", at positions 524 to 776 of the family's 1533-position model. The record is from RNAcentral.